UGCCAGCAGCCGCGGUAAGACGGAGGAUGCAAGUGUUAUCCGGAAUCACUGGGCGUAAAGCGUCUGUAGGUGGUUUAAAAAGUCCACUGUUAAAGAUUGAAGCUUAACUUCAAAAAUGCCGUGGAAACUUUUAAACUUGAGUAUGAUAGGGGUAGAGGGAAUUUCCAGUGGAGCGGUGAAAUGCGUAGAUAUUGGAAAGACCACCGAUGGCGAAGGCACUCUACUGGGCCAUUACUGACACUGAGAGACGAAAGCUAGGGGAGCAAAUGGGAUUAGAUACCCCAGUAGUCCUAGCUGUAAACGAUGGAUACUAGAUGUUGUGUGUAUUGACCCAUGCAGUAUCGUAGCUAACGCGUUAAGUAUCCCGCCUGGGAAGUAUGCUCGCAAGAGUGAAACUUAAAGGAAUUGGCGGGGGAC
This 417-nucleotide ribosomal RNA is filed under the name uncultured bacterium. Its description in RNAcentral is "bacterial SSU rRNA". It matches the Rfam family "Bacterial small subunit ribosomal RNA", at positions 506 to 921 of the family's 1533-position model. The record is from RNAcentral.